UUGACUGGGGCGGUCUCCUCCCAAAGAGUAACGGAGGAGCACGAAGGUGGGCUAAUCACGGUUGGACAUCGUGAGGUUAGUGCAAUGGCAUAAGCCCGCUUAACUGCGAGAAUGACGGUUCGAGCAGGUGCGAAAGCAGGUCAUAGUGAUCCGGUGGUUCUGUAUGGAAGGGCCAUCGCUCAACGGAUAAAAGGUACUCCGGGGAUAACAGGCUGAUACCGCCCAAGAGUUCAUAUCGACGGCGGUGUUUGGCACCUCGAUGUCGGCUCAUCACAUCCUGGGGCUGAAGUCGGUCCCAAGGGUAUGGCUGUUCGCCAUUUAAAGUGGUACGCGAGCUGGGUUUAGAACGUCGUGAGACAGUUCGGUCCCUAUCUGCCGUGGGCGUUGGAAGAUUGAAGGGGGCUGCUCCUAGUACGAGAGGACCGGAGUGGACGAACCUCUGGUGUUCGGGUUGUGUCGCCAGACGCAUUGCCCGGUAGCUAAGUUCGGAAUUGAUAAGCGCUGAAAGCAUCUAAGCGCGAAGCGAGCCCUGAGAUGAGUCUUCCCUGAUACUUUAAGUAUCCUAAAGGGUUGUUCGAGACUAGAACGUUGAUAGGCAGGGUGUGUAAGCGUUGUGAGGCGUUGAGCUAACCUGUACUAAUUGCCCGUGAGGCUUAACCAU
This 661-nucleotide ribosomal RNA is filed under the name Vibrio cholerae. RNAcentral describes it as "partial 23S ribosomal RNA". It matches the Rfam family "Bacterial large subunit ribosomal RNA", at positions 2270 to 2925 of the family's 2925-position model. The record is from RNAcentral. Lineage: Bacteria; Pseudomonadati; Pseudomonadota; Gammaproteobacteria; Vibrionales; Vibrionaceae.